Long non-coding RNA from Orcinus orca (killer whale), 2417 nucleotides. RefSeq lists it as uncharacterized. Lineage: Eukaryota; Metazoa; Chordata; Mammalia; Artiodactyla; Delphinidae. The record is from RefSeq and is a predicted model, not a curated record. The transcript is spliced from 2 exons.
AGCGGGGCGGGGCGGGGCGGGAGGGGCGCGGGGCACGCCGGGACGGGGUUAUGCGCCUGCGCAGACUGAGCCGCGAGAGCAGGGCGGGGAAGCGGAGUGGGACGCAGGCUUCACCCAGUUCCUUUCACGGCACCGGUAACUUGUUGCGCAGGUGUAGACACUGAGCGCCUUGGGGCCGGCCUGUCCCGGCGCCACCUCGGUGCCCGGAGCCCAGCAGGUAGCCAGGAUUUGUAAAUCUUUGCCUCAGGAUUUUUUCUAAGACGGGAAGUCCUUUUGUUCAAACCUAACCUAUGGGUGGAAAAUUCAAAUGACUGCAGGAGGCGGGCAGGAACUUCAGUGAAGUGACCCAGGUGUGGCAUCGCUGGAUAUGCAUUCCUCACAUAAAAAGAAAGUAAGCACGACUACUGUCACAGGGCUGCUUCUGAGAUGCAGCCCCAUCUUGCCAUCCAGGACCCGUUCUUAAUCUCUUCUGGAGUUUUGACCAGAAGCUGAAACUGGCAGCCCUUGGACUCAAUUCAGCAGGUAGAUCAGAGCUGUUUAGCCCAUAUGCACCCUGCACGAUACUGAUGGUGAAAAUAUUGAAAUGCUUCAUGGUAAAUAGUAUCAUAGUAACUGUACAGUCACAAUUAGCUAAUGUAAAUUUUCAUAUAAACUCGGGUUUGUACUGACAGUCUCAGGACAUUGGUACCAUAGAAAAAGGGCCUUCUGUUGUAGCCACAUCUGAGGAACAUCUUGUGUCACUGAAGCGACGGUGGCUAAGUUGCAUGUGUUAAAACAAAUUGCUUUAGGAGAAUCACUAAAAAUAACUUUGUUAGCAUAGUGUAAUUCUUUUGAAUUACAGUAGCAGGCGUGCAGUGUAUUUAUACUUAUACACUUAAGAUUUUAUUAUAAAUAUUAAGAACAAAUACUAAAGUGAAGAGGCAACAAAACCUGGAUAAAUUUUUAAUAGUUUCAUAUAUAAUAAGUGUGAGUCUUGUUAAUCUGCAAAACAAAGAAGGAAUUACAGUAGUGAGUCCCAGCCUGGAACUUGUUUUGAUACUGUGCAAGAAUCUGCACAAAAUAAAACUUGUAUUAAAUACAUUUUAUUACAUAAAAUCUGUAUUUCUGGAGUGAAAAAUGACGAUUUUUUUCAACCAGGAAUUUGUGUUAGUGCUAAUGACAAAUUUUUGGCUAUAAAUAGUGCUCAAAAGUUAUGUGUUAAAAGAUCAAAGUGCUGGGCUUCCCUGGUGGCGCAGUGGUUGAGAGUCCGCCUGCCGAUGCAGGGGACGCGGGUUCGUGCCCCGGUCCGGGAGGAUCCCACAUGCCGCGGAGCGGCUGGGCCCGUGAGCCAUGGCCGCUGAGCCUGCGCAUCCGGAGCCUGUGCUCUGCAACGGGAGAGGCCACAACAGUGAGAGGCCUGCGUACCGCAAAAAAAAAAAAAAAAAAAAAAGAACGAAGUGCUAAACAUGUAUAUUUCAUGAGGAUGCUGUUAAAACGUAUGGUUCAAGUGAAAAAAAAAUUUGUGGUCAUUAAUGAGGAAGAAAUUUAAAAUAUAAUCAGUUUCAUAUAUUAAACAUUUGGAAACUUAAAACUCCCAAAAUGUCAUCAUAGUGAGGAUAAAGCAGUCAAAAAGAUACAGAGGAACUGUCGAAAUUUUUAGCACUGUAUAAUUGAGCAUUUCCAUGAAAAUAUUUAAUAGAACUUCUAAAGGAAUUGUAUUGAUAUGGGGGUGGGUACUAUGGACUAACUUGUUACAAAACAGAUGUAUCUAAUGAGAAAACUUUUUGGAAAACAAAGCAGUGCAUUUUAAAUCAUCUUCAAGGAAGUUUCAUUUGCUUCACAUAAAAGUGUUUUAAUAGUUUGCUUAAAAUACAAAUUUCAGUAUUUUGAAGAUAAUGGUUUUUGUUGAUCUUAUGACACUGGGAGCUGCAUUUAAUACAGUGUAUUGAGCUUUGUUGGUGGGAAAUAUAUAUAUAUACAAUGGAAAGAUACUUUUGUAAAAAUAUCAUUGCAAUAUUUUACAACUUUGAAAAGGUCAUCGGAUUUUGUACAAAAAGUGCCAGUGUAAUAAUGGUAGGAAGAGUCUGGAGUUUCAGCCAAAAGUUUAGAAAAAAAUUUGGAUAUUUUAAUUUGUCACUAAGUGAUCAAAUUUAAUUUUGGAUAAAGCAAUACAAGAUUUAAGUUAAGUAAUUCUCAUGUUUUUCUCAAUAAAUUGUAUUUCUUACCAUGCAUCAAAUAAAUAUCAGGAAGAACUGCAAAUUAAGUACUGGAAAUUGCACCUUGAUGGACAGCUUGAAGUGCGAGAGCAGCAGAAGCAGUUUGGAAAUCAGGAAGUUCUGUGUGUUCACUGUGAUAGAAGCUGAAGUGCAGAGUUAGCCAUCGAAGAAUAUAACUUUAAGAGUGUUUGUUGGCUUUAAUAAAAGAUGUUUUAAUGGAAA